RNAcentral lists this long non-coding RNA (1105 nucleotides) under Fukomys damarensis (Damara mole-rat). RNAcentral's name for it is "lncRNA (ENSFDAG00000027306.1)". The record is from RNAcentral. Lineage: Eukaryota; Metazoa; Chordata; Mammalia; Rodentia; Bathyergidae.
GACAGGGGUUGGGUGGUUCUGGGGUUCUGAGCCCCAGGGAAGGCAGGAAGGUUACUAGGACUCACGCCGGGAGACUCUGACCUCCUUCCCUGGGGGCUGAGGUUCCAGGAAGAGGACUGGGAUGUCCUCAGGGGCAGUGCACCUGCCCAGCGUGUGCAAGGCCAAGGUUCAGUCCCCAGCACUGCAAAAAACCGAACACACACACACACACACACACACACACACACACACCCCUCGAAACAAGAUAAUCACAUUGCUGAAGAGCAUGUUGGCUGGCUCAGUCUGUCCGUCCCCUUAUCAGAAGCCCCACCAUGACCAUGGCAGAGGACGAGGUCAUCCCCGAAGGGCGUGGAAGCUAGGGAGGCAGACAGGCUGGAGGCUGCUCUGGUCAUUUGCUUCACAAGGGUCUCGGUGUGAGACUGCAAGCAGAGCUGAUCAAACACUGUGUGUUUAAAUUCUAAAAAUGUAUUCCAGUGAAAGACACAUUGCCACAAGCCCCUCAGCGUCCCUCCCUCGUCCCGUUGCUCUUGCCGCUUUCCACAGCCGCUCUGGAGAGCUCUUUCCUGAGUGUCGUUACCAGGCGCACUCACAGAGAUGGUGACCGCUGCUACCGAGCGUCGUUCAGUGAGAGGUGGGCGGUGGGACACGACAGCGUCCUCAUCCGCGUGGUCUCUCCGUCUGGCACCGCGGGGCUUCUGGACGUCCCGGGCUUCCUCACAGUCAAAGUGACCGCGAAAGGGACACUUUUUGAAGCGAUUGAGGAUAUGUAGGGAGCGGCAACAGUGCCACAAAAGGCACUUGGGAGAGAGGACCCCGGAGCUGCUUCAGACAAUGGCAGAACGAUGGACGGAAGGGAGGGGGGAUUCUGAGAAGGGUUUGAAGCCACGCGUGUUGAAUCGUGAUACAGUGGCACCUCGGUUCGGGAACUCAAUUCUUCCCAUAACUCUGGUUGAAGAAUCUGUUCCACAAUCUGCUUGCUACCGAAUUGCAAGCAUAUAUCACUAUUUUAAACAUUCACUGUCUCUUCUGACCACAUCUCAUGUACGUCGCUUUGUAUCUCUCUAUAUAUUUGAACAAAUGAUAAUAAAAAUAACUUUGGCCAACU